Molecule: long non-coding RNA, 1068 nt
Filed under: Trifolium pratense (red clover)
Lineage: Eukaryota; Viridiplantae; Streptophyta; Magnoliopsida; Fabales; Fabaceae
Description: long non-coding RNA (TPRA_LNC005563)
Source: RNAcentral
GUAGUAGGUAUGAUAAUUAAAUCUGAAUUUUGUGGCCUCAUUCAACAAUAAAUGGUAUGCCAAUGAUACACAAUAUUAGGAACAAUCAGCUUUGGUUCCACUAAUCAUAAUUUCAACAAUGAUGGGCACAUUACUUGCAAAAGUUGGCUGGUAAUUAAUUACAAGUAGUUGAAGUUCUCGUAACAAAAGCAAUGGUUAUCAGAAUCUUUCAACACUUUGGUUUAGAGGAAAAAAAGAGGGAGGAAGGAAAAUUACGAUAUCCAAUAAAUGAAUUUAGACUAAAGUUAGUCCAAAUUCGUUCAUUGAUUUCCGUAAUUUUCUUUCCACUCAAACAAACGGUCUAAAAACAUCCCUAACGGAGAAGCUUACACAUACUUAGAAAAUGAACAAGGCUUUUACUAAUGCUCUUAUAAGUGAAAGCUUUUAUCAUCUUUCAAUUUUUUCAAGAAAUAAUAAUACUAAUGAUGAUGAUGAUGACAACAGAUUAAUCAUUCUUAGUCUUUAAUCAGGAAAAUUUGAACAGAUUAAUCAUUCUUAGUCUUACACUAACAGAUUUAAUCUAGGCAACUGCUCCAACAUUUUCAUCAUCAUUAAAACUCAGAUUUAAUGUCUGUAAUUUGAAGCCUAAACCUUGUAUGGUUUCUACCAGACUAGAAGCCACUCCUGUAGCUUGGAUUGUUGUCUGCUUUUCCAACUGAACAUGAUAAGCACAAAAAGUCAUUAACCAUACUUAAGUAAAAAUCAAACUCAUAGCAUAAAGUUAACUACAACAAGAUAUUAAAUUGUGUGUUUCAUUUUAUCACUUCAAUUACAAGAUAAUGAUUCAGAUUAAAUCUACUUUAGUUCAUUCAUAUACAUAGCUAAUGACACCAUUGGAAUUAAUGGAAACAAUAUAUGACAUAUCUAUAAGCUAUUUUCGACUUGUUUCCAUAAGUUAUCUAGGAUAACUUUAACUUAAAAUAAUAGUUUAUAACAUAUAUGAAAACAGUUUGAUGUUUUUUAUCUUGUGAUAAAAAUAGCUUAAAAAAUCUAUAUUUAUCAUUUCCUACUCAAAAUUUUCACUACUCA